RNAcentral lists this transfer RNA (4736 nucleotides) under Marmota monax (woodchuck). The stretch from base 1327 to 1397 matches the Rfam family "tRNA". Lineage: Eukaryota; Metazoa; Chordata; Mammalia; Rodentia; Sciuridae. The record is from RNAcentral.
UGAGGAGGAGCAGCCAGAGAAGCCCUGGGCGGCAGCAGUCAGGAAAGCUGGGCUUUUCCUGCUCUGUGCCCUACUUUCUGGCUGCCCUUGGACAGGUCACGCCUGUCUCUGGGCUCCGUUUGUUUGCCUGAUGUCGUUCCCCCUUUCCAUCCUUGCCCCUGGGUAGAGUCCAGUCCCUAUCUGGCAACCAGCGUGACUUAGACACCACUUGGCUCCUGGCGGCGGCUGCCCAUCUCACCCAGAGAAGGACCCAGGUGAGGUGGGCGCCCUGUGCCAUCUGCCCCCUCCCUGCUGCCUGCUUUGCUCCAAUCACUGAGCUUCUUGCUGUUCCUUGGACACAACAGGCAUGUGCCCGCUGUUCCCUGUGCCUGCAUCGUCCCAUCCAACCCCUGCACUCCAGAUAGCCUCACCACUCAAAUGUCACUUUCUCAAUAACACCUGCUCUGACCGCCAUAUUGAACACCCAAUCUCUCCAGCACGGCCAUCUCUGUUCUAUUUCUCCAGGUCCCUGGCAUUCACUCUAUGAUUGAUUGGACUUCUUGUCUGCCUCCCCCACACUUCCCCCUGUGGAAUGUGAGCUCCACAGGGCGAGGACCUCUGUAGACGCGCUACGUUCGCCUGGUGCAGGACAGAUGCGCAAUCACUCUGGUGAGUGUGGAAUGUAUCACUGGCUUGUGGAUUCCUGGUGGGACACGGAGGGAGGGAGGAACCCCAGGGUGUGAGACGCAUGACCAGGGGUGACUAAGUGCAGGCUCAUGGCAGAGGGGACCCUCUGGUGGCUGGGCUGGCUUUGCUUUUCUAUCCUGUUAGAACCUGGAGAGACAUUUAAGUCCCUUUUAUCUCCAUGAGAAUGGGCCCCUGCUGAGAACACCCAUACUGGGGGAUGGUGUCAACAGAGAUGUCUCAGGCCAGUCUGAGUCCCACAGAAUUGACUGAGACACAAAGGAUGCCUUGUCCAAAGUUCCAACUGCAGCAUAGAGGUACAGGACCCGGGUGACAUGGCUGCAGCUGCAGGCACGCAGACAGUCUUCAAGAAAUGCAGGACCAGUGUGUGGAAGCUGGAUUACCUUUAUGUUAGGUGACUUUAGAGCAGGGAUUGCAGGUAACUGAAAAACCCACUCCAAGCCGAUGGUGAAUAUCACUAGGAUCACAGACACUUCCCUAUAGAGCCAGAUGGAGCCUCAGAAUCCCUCAACACCGUGUCCAAACUUCCCAACCCAACUUAAUGGAGUUGACAUGAGAUAAAACAGUGGGACUAGAACACACGAAUAGGCGAACAGGUCAAAGACUGAAAGCCAUUCCCAUCAAGAAAAAGCAUUUUGGGCUGUGGCUGUGGCUCAGUGGUAGAGCGCUUGCCUAGCAUGUGUGAGGCGCUGGGUUCGAUCCCCAGCACCACAUUUAAAAAAAAAAAAAAAACUAAACAAAAUAAAGGCAUUGUGUCCAUCUACAAAGACAAGAGAAGGCAUUUUGUUGGAAGCAAAGCUGGUGUAACUUUCCCUGGAGAAGGGGACAGUGAGUUUCUCCUCACUAUUGAAGAGGAGGGUGUAGCUCUUCCCGAUUUCCACGCUGGCAACCCAUGGCCAGGAAAGUUUCCAAAUCCUCACUGGCACAUGGUAGACACAAUUCCAGCUCUGAGUUCAGAUCUGUACUUAUAUCUACCGGGGCACCUUAGCAGCCAAGGACACUGACUUGUGCUGGAAAAUGGGAGAGAGUAGACACUACGGUAGACGGUGCCCUGUAAAAGCUCCACGGUUGCUGACAGGAAGUUCCACCAUGUUUUCUGCUAACCAUGUUUCCACUUUAAUGGCUGUUGCUGGUGCUGCUUCCCCUGGGUUUUGCUCAAAUACUAUCUAAACUCCAGAUUUGGUGAUUCGUCCUGUAGCCCUCCUGCCAUAGGGUCCCUUUCGUCUCCUUGUGGCCAGGCCCGGUGAGCUCCGACCCCAGGGCCCUCACCUGCGUUCCCUGACAGGCACUGGGAGCCUCUGGCUCCCCUACAGGACACUACAGAAGACACUGGGCUCUUUCUCUCUACUUAAUUAUACCACGCGGCUGCCCCUAAUGGUGCAGGGGUGCCCUGUUAAGGCAUUUCCCAUAGGCUGGGAGGGAGCAUGUGGUGGCACUGUCACCUACGUUCCCUUGUUCCCUUCUGCCAGCUGUUUCUUCCUGUCAGAGUGCUGUUCUGGGACUUCCACUCUGAAUCCCUCCUUGGCACAUUGCCUUCUCUUCCCUCUUCUUUCCUGGCCUCCCUGUUCCCUCCGUUGGGAGCUCACCUUCUUGCUCUCCGCCAUCUUCCCUAUAACUUGAAUUCAUGGGAGAACUCCAACUCGGAGACCACCAAGCUCCGUUCUUGAAGUAAGGAAGUGUUUAUCAUCUAAAGAACUUUUCAACAAAGCCUGUCUUUUCAAGGGUGCUCUUUUGCUAUUGCCUCCCAAUUCUAGUUUCACUGGAAGUGGGACAAUGACUUUGUUUUUGAUCUGGACUCCAGGCAGUUCUCUUUGACAGGAUGAAGUUCAUUGAUUUAAUGGGUGGGGAGCCACAGGACAAAAAGACUCACAGAAAGAAAAGCACACGAAUUUCUAUCUUCCAAAAGCCAUCUUCCUCUGAAAUAACCAGAGUGCACACAAGUGAUUAAUUAUCAGAGUGUUUAUUAUAGCAUUAUUCGUAACUAAACUAAAAUUGGAAACAAAUUGAAUGUCCAACAAGAGGGGAUUAUAAAUUGUGAGUUUUAAGUGAUACUGUAGAUGUUAACUUACAUCCGUAAACUUUUAAAAAACGUUUUUGGGUGAAGAAAGUCCAAUAUAAAACAGCAUAUUCAGUUUGAUGACAUUCUGUAAAAUGUGUAAGUGUCUCUCUUUGUAAAAUAAAAUGAGUACUUUUUAUUUUCUUUGUUCUCUUUCCAAAUUUACUAGUGAACAUGGUUAGUUUUUUGGUUGGAAAUAAAUGACUAAUAAAUGCUCUGUUUGGUUUUAGGAAGAGAAAACAUAGGUGCAUCUCUCCAUGGAGAGGACUAGGGUGCAGAGGAUGAGGUGCCAUCGAGCUCCUCCAAUUCUGAGCGAUUCUGGUUCUCUGCUCCGCCAGCUUUGGCAUCCAGCCCAGCAGCGUGAUGAGAGCCUGGAAGUGUCUUCUCCAGGCUCCGUGGCUCCCAGGCCUUGGAUGAUGGCCAGUGCUCCAACCAGCACAGAGAGUGCCUGCUCCCCACGACGCUCCCCACCCUAGGAAAGCUCCUAUUUAUUAACAGUCAUGGUGCCAAGAGAGCUUUCUGCCUGUGCCCAAGCCCCGAGUACCAUGGAGCUUCAAUCUUUUAUGAAACAGCUUUUCAUUUCUUCCUUCUCUACGAAGGGCUUUCACAAGCCACCGAGUGGUUCUUUGCCCAUCAAUUUUUAAUCUUGCUCAAGUUUUAUUUUCCACUUGACCAAUGCUCCGUUCAUAAAUAACACAUCAAAACUUUGCUCCAAUUCCUUCUGUAGGUUUGGUUUGUUUGUGUUUAUUUUUAAACGGUCUCCUGUUGGGGAGGAAGGAAGUGGUUACCCCCGUGUGCAGACUUUUCCAUGGCUCCUGACUGCCAACCAGACGUGGCCCACUGUCUGUCUCAGCAUGGCACCUGAGACUGCCCACGAUCGGUGCCAUCAUCCUGGCUAGAUCCUCUCCUGGUUCUUCCAACACGCCCCGGAAGCCAGGAACAUUGCUGAUCCAGAACAUGGUCCACUCCCCAGCCUUCCUCCCUCUGUUCACCCCAUGUCCUCUACUGGGGGAGCUGGCAAGAGCCGGAGUGAUUACUGUCUGUUUACCAUGUUUUUAUCUGAUUCUCUCUGAAGUAUGUUUCCAUUUCUAAUGACCUAAACUGCCUUGUCCCUUUGAAGGAUAGCUGUAUUGUGAUCAAGUUCUGACUGGAGGUGAGACAGGUCUCUGAAUUAUAGCCUGUGGCACGAGUGAAAAUCAGUAUUGACUUUUCCACCAAGUAGAGGGUGAUGCCCACCUAACAGGUCAGUAAUGAGCAUUAAAUACCGUUGUAUAGGUAGAAGCACUAGAGAUGGACCUGGUGUAUUGUAGACUUCCAUACUUACCAAAAUCUGAGUGUUGGGGGCAAUAUUUGUGUGUCUUGCUGCUUGGGUGUGUUUGAAAUAGCUGGUUCUUCACCACCUAGAUGCGACAGUUGUUAACACUUGAUCCCUAUGUGCUUUGUCUGUCUACCUGUCUUUAUUCAUCUCUCCAUUCACAGUGCUAUAUCGUUAAUAUAACAUUAGCAAUAAUUCCAAAUUAUCAUUGCUAUAGUUUAUAUCUAAAAUGUCCCUCAAAGGCCCAUGUAUUAAACAGUUCAUUCCCCAGCUUGGUGUUAUUGGGAGAUAGUAGAAAUUUUAAGAGAUGGGAUCAGAUGGGGAGUUUUAGACCACAGGGUGCAUACCCUUGAAAGGGGAUUAGGAGUUUCUGUUCUUCUCCUCUCUUUGUCACCUCCCACCAUUUGUUUUUUUGCUCCUGCCAUGAUGUUCUGCCACAGCCCAUAGCAAUGGAAUCAAUCAACAAAGAACUGAAACCUCUUAAAACUGUGAGCCAAAAUGAACCUUUCUCUUGGUAACUUGAUUAUGUCAGGUAUUUUGUUACCGUCAUGAAAAACUGACUAAUACAAUUAUUUCAUAUUUAAUCUUCAUUAAAAAUCCCCAAUUAUACCCAAAAUAUUUUUUAUAAUUUUCCCCCAACCAAGAUCCAAGCAAGUUUCAUACAUUGUUAUUUGGUUGUUA